CACUCCUACGGGAGGCAGCAGUGGGGAAUAUUGGACAAUGGGCGCAAGCCUGAUCCAGCCAUGCCGCGUGAGUGAUGAAGGCCCUAGGGUUGUAAAGCUCUUUCACCGGUGAAGAUAAUGACGGUAACCGGAGAAGAAGCCCCGGCUAACUUCGUGCCAGCAGCCGCGGUAAUACGAAGGGGGCUAGCGUUGUUCGGAUUUACUGGGCGUAAAGCGCACGUAGGCGGACUAUUAAGUCAGGGGUGAAAUCCCGGGGCUCAACCCCGGAACUGCCUUUGAUACUGGUAGUCUUGAGUUUGAGAGAGGUGAGUGGAAUUCCGAGUGUAGAGGUGAAAUUCGUAGAUAUUCGGAGGAACACCAGUGGCGAAGGCGGCUCACUGGCUCGAUACUGACGCUGAGGUGCGAAAGCGUGGGGAGCAAACAGGAUUAGAAACCCUUGUAGUCC
RNAcentral lists this ribosomal RNA (445 nucleotides) under uncultured organism. RNAcentral's name for it is "partial 16S ribosomal RNA". It matches the Rfam family "Bacterial small subunit ribosomal RNA", at positions 334 to 796 of the family's 1533-position model. The record is from RNAcentral.